UACAGGGGGUGCAAACGUUGCUCGGAAUCAUUGGGCGUAAAGCGCACGUAGGCGGUUCGUUAUGUCGGAUGUGAAAGCCCUUGGCUUAACCGAGGAAGUGCACCCGAAACUGGCGAGCUAGAGUACUAAAGAGGAUCGCGGAAUUCCCGGUGUAGAGGUGAAAUUCGUAGAUAUCGGGAGGAACACCGGUGGCGAAGGCGGCGAUCUGGGUAGAUACUGACGCUGAGGUGCGAAAGCGUGGGGAGCAAACAGG
This 253-nucleotide ribosomal RNA is filed under the name uncultured bacterium. Its description in RNAcentral is "partial 16S ribosomal RNA". It matches the Rfam family "Bacterial small subunit ribosomal RNA", at positions 524 to 776 of the family's 1533-position model. The record is from RNAcentral.